CCCUUAGAUGUUCUGGGCCGCACGCGUGCUACACUGAGUAAAUCAAUGGGUAAGGGAACACGAAAGUGCAACCUAAUCUUGAAAUUUGCUCGUGAUGGGGAUCGACGGUUGCAAUUUUCCGUCGUGAACGAGGAAUACCUUGUAGGCGCGUGUCAUCAUCACGCGCCGAAUACGUCCCUGCCCUUUGUACACACCGCCCGUCGCUCCUACCGAUUGAGUGAUCCGGUGAGGCUCUGGGACCUGGACGGAAAGAGCGUUUCGCUUGUUCUGUUUGGGAAACUGGGUCGAACCUUAUCAUUUAGAGGAAGGAGAAGUCGUAACA
This 322-nucleotide ribosomal RNA is filed under the name uncultured eukaryote. RNAcentral's name for it is "partial 18S ribosomal RNA". It matches the Rfam family "Eukaryotic small subunit ribosomal RNA", at positions 1470 to 1796 of the family's 1831-position model. The record is from RNAcentral.